UACGUAGGUGGCGAGCGUUGUCCGGAUUUACUGGGCGUAAAGGGAGCGUAGGCGGACUUUUAAGUGAUAUGUGAAAUACCCGGGCUCAACUUGGGUGCUGCAUUUCAAACUGGAAGUCUAGAGUGCAGGAGAGGAGAAUGGAAUUCCUAGUGUAGCGGUGAAAUGCGUAGAGAUUAGGAAGAACACCAGUGGCGAAGGCGAUUCUCUGGACUGUAACUGACGCUGAGGCUCGAAAGCGUGGGGAGCAAACAGGAUUAGAUA
RNAcentral lists this ribosomal RNA (261 nucleotides) under uncultured prokaryote. RNAcentral describes it as "partial 16S ribosomal RNA". It matches the Rfam family "Bacterial small subunit ribosomal RNA", at positions 524 to 784 of the family's 1533-position model. The record is from RNAcentral.